UUGUUUAAUUGUGAUGUUGGUUGUUUUGGUUUAUUUGCCUUUUGCAUCAUGCUUAACGGAGUUUUUUAAAGUAUGUUUUUGUACCGAAAGGUUUUGAUCUUAGAUUUAGUUGUUUAGAAGUGUUGUUUGGUCUGGGUAAGGUCUUGUAAACUAAAUUUAUGUGGUGAUAAGUGAGUCGUAAAGCUUUAUAAUUGUUUGGUUGUUUAGAAUUUAGUGGGAUGUAGGUGGCUAUUAGGUCAUUUAUAUUUUUAUACAUUUGGUGAUGUGUGGUUUUUGAUAAGGUUAGAGGUACCUAGUUUUUGUUAUAUUGUUGUAAAUAUGGUUUUGUUGGUUUAUUGGUAUGUUAAUUGUUUGAACAACUGUUUUGCUAUAUUUGGUUAUUAUAUUAUCGUUGAAUAAGUAAUUUUAUUAUGCUAUUUAUUUCUUGAGUUCUUUCCGUCUGUUUAUUAAAAACAUUUCUAAUUUUAAUUGUAGUUAGUAGUGCCUGCCCAAUGUUGGUUAAUUAAUGGCCGCAGUAUAUUGACUGUGCAAAGGUAGCAUAAUUAAUUGCCUUUUAAUUGGAGGCUUGUU
Molecule: ribosomal RNA, 570 nt
Filed under: Echinococcus granulosus
Lineage: Eukaryota; Metazoa; Platyhelminthes; Cestoda; Cyclophyllidea; Taeniidae
Description: partial 12S ribosomal RNA
Source: RNAcentral